RNAcentral lists this ribosomal RNA (483 nucleotides) under uncultured bacterium. RNAcentral describes it as "partial 16S ribosomal RNA". It matches the Rfam family "Bacterial small subunit ribosomal RNA", at positions 30 to 507 of the family's 1533-position model. The record is from RNAcentral.
AUUGAACGCUGGCGGCAGGCCUAACACAUGCAAGUCGAGCGGAUGAAGGGAGCUUGCUCCUGGAUUCAGCGGCGGACGGGUGAGUAAUGCCUAGGAAUCUGCCUGGUAGUGGGGGAUAACGUCCGGAAACGGGCGCUAAUACCGCAUACGUCCUGAGGAGGAAGGGGGGGAUUUUUCGAACCUCAGGUUUCAGAUUAAGCUAGGUCGGAUUAGCCAGUUGGUGGGGGAAAGGCCUACCAAGGCGACGAUCCGUAACUGGUCUGAGAGGAUGAUCAGUCACACUGGAACUGAGACACGGUCCAGACUCCUACGGGAGGCAGCAGUGGGGAAUAUUGGACAAUGGGCGAAAGCCUGAUCCAGCCAUGCCGCGUGUGUGAAGAAGGUCUUCGGAUUGUAAAGCACUUUAAGUUGGGAGGAAGGGCAGUAAGUUAAUACCUUGCUGUUUUGACGUUACCAACAGAAUAAGCACCGGCUAACUUCGUG